AUUGAACGCUGGCGGCAUGCCUUACACAUGCAAGUCGAACGGCAGCACGGGUGCUUGCACCUGGUGGCGAGUGGCGAACGGGUGAGUAAUACAUCGGAACGUACCUUAUCGUGGGGGAUAACGCAGCGAAAGUUGCGCUAAUACCGCAUACGCCCUGAGGGGGAAAGCGGGGGACCGUAAGGCCUCGCACGAUUAGAGCGGCCGAUGUCCGAUUAGCUUGUUGGUGAGGUAAAAGCUCACCAAGGCGAUGAUCAGUAGCUGGACUGAGAGGACGAUCAGCCACACUGGGACUGAGACACGGCCCAGACUCCUACGGGAGGCAGCAGUGGGGAAUUCUGGACAAUGGGGGCAACCCUGAUCCAGCAAUGCCGCGUGAGUGAAGAAGGCCUUCGGGUUGUAAAGCUCUUUUGUCAGGGAAGAAACAGCAGCUCUAACACAGUCUGCGAAUGACGGUACCUGAAGAAUAAGCACCGGCUAACUACGUGCCAGCAGCCGCCGUAA
Molecule: ribosomal RNA, 501 nt
Filed under: uncultured bacterium
Lineage: Bacteria
Description: partial 16S ribosomal RNA
Rfam family: Bacterial small subunit ribosomal RNA
Source: RNAcentral